RNAcentral lists this ribosomal RNA (253 nucleotides) under uncultured bacterium. RNAcentral's name for it is "partial 16S ribosomal RNA". It matches the Rfam family "Bacterial small subunit ribosomal RNA", at positions 524 to 776 of the family's 1533-position model. The record is from RNAcentral.
UACGUAGGGGGCUAGCGUUGUCCGGGUUUAUUGGGCGUAAAGAGCGUGUAGGCGGCCAUGUAGGUCCGGUGUGAAAACUCGAGGCUUAACCUCGAGAUGUCAUCGGAAACCAUUUGGCUAGAGUCCGGAAGAGGAGAGUGGAAUUCCUGGUGUAGCGGUGAAAUGCGCAGAUAUCAGGAAGAACACCAAUGGCGAAAGCAGCUCUCUGGGACGGUACUGACGCUGAGACGCGAAAGCGUGGGGAGCGAACAGG